CUCCUUUAGCCCUAUGUUCUAUUUUCCUGUAGGAAAGAGAAAACCCACACAGAGAGGGAAACCAGAGAAAAGUAUACACCUUUUGCAGUAUAGAUCUGACCGCUAAAGGAAAGGUUAUGACCUCAGCAAAGGCCUAGCAGAAGGUGCAUAAGUUAAUUUAUUACACACCUUUGGCAUAUAUAUUGAAGAAUGGCAGAAGGAAUAUCAAGCUUUUGGGGUCCAGUAACAUCUGCUGAUUGGUGUGAGAAAAA
This 251-nucleotide unclassified non-coding RNA is filed under the name Hevea brasiliensis (rubber tree). The record is from RNAcentral. Lineage: Eukaryota; Viridiplantae; Streptophyta; Magnoliopsida; Malpighiales; Euphorbiaceae.